GGAUGAAGCCGUUAGGGUUGUAAAUUACUUNUGUCCGGAACGAAAAGGCUCGUUCUAAUACAGGGAGCUGAUGACGGUACCGUGAGAAUAAGCACCGGCUAACUACGUGCCAGCAGCCGCGGUAAUACGUAGGGUGCAAGCGUUAAUCGGAAUUACUGGGCGUAAAGCGUGCGCAGGCGGUUNGGCAAGACAGGGGUGAAAUCCCGGGGCUCAACCUCGGAACUGCCNUUGUGACUGCNGGGCUAGAGUAUGUCAGAGGGGGAUGGAAUUCCACGUGUAGCAGUGAAAUGCGUGGAUAUGNNNAGGAUCACCGAUGGUGAAGGCAGUCCGCUGG
RNAcentral lists this ribosomal RNA (334 nucleotides) under uncultured Comamonas sp. RNAcentral's name for it is "partial 16S ribosomal RNA". It matches the Rfam family "Bacterial small subunit ribosomal RNA", at positions 406 to 732 of the family's 1533-position model. Lineage: Bacteria; Pseudomonadati; Pseudomonadota; Betaproteobacteria; Burkholderiales; Comamonadaceae. The record is from RNAcentral.